UAGGGAAUCUUCGGCAAUGGGCGCAAGCCUGAUGGAGCAACGCCGCGUGUGUGAUGAAGGCUUUCGGGUCGUAAAGCACUGUUGUAUGGGAAGAAAUGCUAGAAUAGGGAAUGAUUCUAGUUCGACGGUACCAUACCAGAAAGGGACGGCUAAAUACGUGCCAG
Molecule: ribosomal RNA, 164 nt
Filed under: uncultured bacterium
Lineage: Bacteria
Description: partial 16S rRNA
Rfam family: Bacterial small subunit ribosomal RNA
Source: RNAcentral